UACGUAGGGGGCAAGCGUUGUCCGGAUUUAUUGGGCGUAAAGAGCGUGUAGGCGGCCAGACAGGCCUGCUGUGAAAACUCGAGGCUCAACCUCGAGACGCCGGUGGAAACCGUUUGGCUAGAGUCCGGAAGAGGAGAGUGGAAUUCCUGGUGUAGCGGUGAAAUGCGCAGAUAUCAGGAAGAACACCCGUGGCUAAGGCGGCUCUCUAGUACGGUACUGACGCUGAGGCGCGAAAGCGUGGGGAGCAAACGGG
Molecule: ribosomal RNA, 253 nt
Filed under: uncultured bacterium
Lineage: Bacteria
Description: partial 16S ribosomal RNA
Rfam family: Bacterial small subunit ribosomal RNA
Source: RNAcentral